CCUACGGGAGGCAGCAGUGGGGAAUAUUGCACAAUGGGCGCAAGCCUGAUGCAGCCAUGCCGCGUGUGUGAAGAAGGCCUUCGGGUUGUAAAGCACUUUCAGCGGGGAGGAAGGCGUUAAGGUUAAUAACCUUGUCGAUUGACGUUACCCGCAGAAGAAGCACCGGCUAACUCCGUGCCAGCAGCCGCGGUAAUACGGAGGGUGCAAGCGUUAAUCGGAAUUACUGGGCGUAAAGCGCACGCAGGCGGUCGGUCAAGUCGGAUGUGAAAUCCCCGGGCUCAACCUGGGAACUGCAUUCGAAACUGGCAGGCUAGAGUCUUGUAGAGGGGGGUAGAAUUCCAGGUGUAGCGGUGAAAUGCGUAGAGAUCUGGAGGAAUACCGGUGGCGAAGGCGGCCCCCUGGACAAAGACUGACGCUCAGGUGCGAAAGCGUGGGGAGCAAACAGGAUUAGAUACCCGAGUAGUC
Molecule: ribosomal RNA, 465 nt
Filed under: uncultured Klebsiella sp.
Lineage: Bacteria; Pseudomonadati; Pseudomonadota; Gammaproteobacteria; Enterobacterales; Enterobacteriaceae
Description: bacterial SSU rRNA
Rfam family: Bacterial small subunit ribosomal RNA
Source: RNAcentral